GAUGAACGCUGGCGGCGUGCUUAACACAUGCAAGUCGAACGAUGAAGCCCAGCUUGCUGGGUGGAUUAGUGGCGAACGGGUGAGUAACACGUGAGUAACCUGCCCUUGACUCUGGGAUAAGCCUUGGAAACUGGGUCUAAUACUGGAUAUGACUUCUCAUCGCAUGGUGGGGGGUGGAAAGAUUUAUUGGUCUUGGAUGGACUCGCGGCCUAUCAGCUUGUUGGUGAGGUAAUGGCUCACCAAGGCGACGACGGGUAGCCGGCCUGAGAGGGUGACCGGCCACACUGGGACUGAGACACGGCCCAGACUCCUACGGGAGGCAGCAGUGGGGAAUAUUGCACAAUGGGCGCAAGCCUGAUGCAGCGACGCCGCGUGGGGGAUGACGGCCUUCGGGUUGUAAACCUCUUUCAGUAGGGAAGAAGCGAGAGUGACGGUACCUGCAGAAGAAGCGCCGGCUAACUACGUG
RNAcentral lists this ribosomal RNA (466 nucleotides) under uncultured bacterium. Its description in RNAcentral is "partial 16S ribosomal RNA". It matches the Rfam family "Bacterial small subunit ribosomal RNA", at positions 28 to 507 of the family's 1533-position model. The record is from RNAcentral.